This is a long non-coding RNA of Chinchilla lanigera (long-tailed chinchilla), 1825 nucleotides long. The record is from Ensembl. NCBI's taxonomy places the organism in Eukaryota, Metazoa, Chordata, Mammalia, Rodentia, Chinchillidae.
CAAAAAGAUCUAAUUGUACUUUAAAGGAGAAAUGAAAUAAUUUUGAUAUUCUGUCAUUGAAUGAUUUUGGCUUUGGAUGAGACAUUCCUGCUUUCUGCAUCUCAAGGUGGCUUGGGUUGUCUUUGUUCAACACACAGAUGCCAAGGACUUUUAAAAACCUUAACUCUUGGCAGCCAUACAUGGACUUCAUCAAAGGCUGACCGUACACCCCAGAACUUCUUAAGGACAUGUAUUUCCCCUCAUUCCAGCUUCUCCUUUUUGUGCCCACAGUAUUUGAAUGCACUUUACAGUUGAGAAGUUAGUGAUUGGACAAAUGAAGAAACUGAUUACAUUUUCAAACAGCAGCAAAUAGGAAGAUACUCGAUGCAUCACUGCUGAAUCUCAUGAAGAUACAGACUGCAAAUCUGCUCCCUCCCUGUCUGAUCUCCCCCGCCAAAUUUGAGGAGAUUAAAAUUUCCUGUAAUCACUGAUUUAGAUGAUGAUACCUAAUUUAUGAUCAGGUCACUCACCUGGAAAACAACUAUCCUUUUUAAUCACAACUAUCCCACGGGAUGUAGAUCUUUCCUGAGUGUUCACUAAAAACACACAGCACCGAUUAGGCUAAAAUAGCAAUGUAACUCCCACAAUUUCCAGUGGUAACAUAAAUGGAAAUAAUUUAAACUGACGUUUUAUUUUGGUUACUCAUGUGGCAUUUAAUCUUUAGGAAAAUAACCUGAAUGUUUUAAUGGUAACAAACUGCAAAAAAAAAAUUUCUAUUUAUAUUAAAAUAUAUCAUACUCCAAAUGUAUUAAUUGACAUAUACUACUACUCAAAGUGUCAGCUACAGUAACCAGUGGGCAUAAUUUGAAUUUAUCAUUCUGUACAAAAUGUUGACUGCCCCAUCCUACUCUUCCCCCAAAUUUCACCUGUAUAUAAACAGGUAGGUUUAGAUAGACUUUGUUUUAAGACAAAGCCAAAGAUGCUUCAUUUUUAUUACAUUGAGCAUGUCAAAUUGACAUUUUGUAGUCCAAAAAUGCUCAAAUAUCAGCAAUGUAAUAUAACUCAAUCUAAUACAAAGAAUUACCAUACAAAUUAUUUUAAAUGGAAACUCCAUCAUAUUUUAAAGUAAUUCAAUUUCGAAAAAUGUAUAUUUCAUAAAUUUCAGAAUCAUGGGUUUAUAAAACAAAGUAUAAUGUGAAAUAUGUGUUUGGCAGCAGAUACUAAGGUAAAUCAAGUAAAGAUGGAUUCAUCCAGCACAACCACUCCAUUCACACCAAGUCUGAAACUUUGGACUCAUAACUGAGUUUGACCAUGGCAGAUCCCACCAUACUUACUAAGUAGGUAGGAGGGGUCCAUUUAAUGCAUUUAAAUGGCUAUAUUUAGUAAUACAUUUUAUUCACCCGCAUUUGUACAAAAGAAUUUCUUCUUCUUUUUUUUUUUUCUGGUACCGGGAAUCGAACUCUCGACCUCGCACUUGCCAGGCAGGCACUGUGCUGCUGAGCUAAAUUUCCAGCCCCCAAAAGAACUUCUUAAACAAAUUGUAAAAUACAUCUACAGGAAAAAUGGGGUUGUUUCUUGAAAAUUGUAUUUGAAGUAGAUUCAUAUUAUGUAAAACAAAAACAUUUUUGUAUUAAUAUUUAGCAUGUUAUUUUUGAUCCCUGAAUAAUAAAUGCUGAAAACAAAAAAUCUAUUGUUCUAAAAAUGUAAAGAAUUUUACAUUUGUUUCUUCAUCCCAAUAUAAAUAGUAACCACUACAUAUUUUGCAGGACUUAUUUUGAGAUCUCAUUAUUUUUUCUUGUUGUCUAAUGCUCACCAGUUUGAUUAACAAUAAAAUGUGAGAAAAUGA